CGGACGGGUGAGUAACACGUGGGUAACCUGCCUAAAAGAAGGGGAUAACACUUGGAAACAGGUGCUAAUACCGUAUAUCUCUAAGGAUCGCAUGAUCCUUAGAUGAAAGAUGGUUCUGCUAUCGCUUUCAGAUGGACCCGCGGCGUAUUAACUAGUUGGUGGGGUAACGGCCUACCAAGGUGAUGAUACGUAGCCGAACUGAGAGGUUGAUCGGCCACAUUGGGACUGAGACACGGCCCAA
RNAcentral lists this ribosomal RNA (241 nucleotides) under uncultured bacterium. RNAcentral's name for it is "partial 16S ribosomal RNA". It matches the Rfam family "Bacterial small subunit ribosomal RNA", at positions 99 to 334 of the family's 1533-position model. The record is from RNAcentral.